AACGUGGGUAACCUGCCCUGAUGAUCGGGACAACCCGAGGAAAACUCGGGCUAAUACCGAAUGUGCCCUCCGGCCCAUAAGGCCACUGGGGAAAGGAAGCUUCGGCCUCCGCAUCGGGAUGGGCCCGCGGCCCAUUAGCUUGUUGGUGAGGUAACGGCUCACCAAGGCAAUGAUGGGUAGCUGGUCUGAGAGGACGAUCAGCCACACUGGGACUGAGACACGGCCCAG
Molecule: ribosomal RNA, 228 nt
Filed under: uncultured bacterium
Lineage: Bacteria
Description: partial 16S ribosomal RNA
Rfam family: Bacterial small subunit ribosomal RNA
Source: RNAcentral